Molecule: ribosomal RNA, 239 nt
Filed under: Clostridioides difficile
Lineage: Bacteria; Bacillati; Bacillota; Clostridia; Peptostreptococcales; Peptostreptococcaceae
Description: partial 16S ribosomal RNA
Rfam family: Bacterial small subunit ribosomal RNA
Source: RNAcentral
GAGUUCCCUUCGGGGACAUUGGUGACAGGUGGUGCAUGGUUGUCGUCAGCUCGUGUCGUGAGAUGUUGGGUUAAGGCCCGCAACGAGCGCAACCCUUGUCUUUAGUUGCCAUCAUUAAGUUGGGCACUCUAGAGAGACUGCCAGGGAUAACCUGGAGGAAGGUGGGGAUGACGUCAAAUCAUCAUGCCCCUUAUGCUUAGGGCUACACACGUGCUACAAUGGGUAGUACAGAGGGUUGC